Molecule: non-coding RNA, 1321 nt
Organism: Schistocerca cancellata (South American locust)
Lineage: Eukaryota; Metazoa; Arthropoda; Insecta; Orthoptera; Acrididae
Source: the annotation of a RefSeq genome assembly
UUAUUUAUUUUAUUAUAUUUAUUUUUUGUUUAUUUAAUUAUUUAAUAAAAAUAAUUUUGUUGAAUUUUGUCUUAGUAUAUUUUGUAGAAUUGAUUUUUUAGAUUAUAGCUUAUUGGUAAUGUAAUUGUUUUAUGAAAUAUUAUUUUAAAUUUUUAAAAGUAGAUUUUAUUUAUUGUACCUUUUGUAUCAGGGUUUAUCAAAAUUUUAGUAUUUAUUUUACUUGUCUCGAUUUGGGUUGAUUUAUAAAUAAUUUAUAGUUAAUGUAUCAUAAUUAUUAUUAAAUUAUUUAUAGAAAUGAGAUGUUAAUCGUUUCCCAAGAUAUCUAGUUUCUUAAGAAAAAAUUUAAUUUUUUGAAGUUAAUUGUUUCUAUUUAAUUUUUUAAUUAUAAAUAUUAACUUAUUUAUUCUUUAAGGGAUAAGCUUUGAAGUUAAUAACCUAUAAUUUGUUUUAAUGAAAUAUAAUAGUAAGCUUUAAACCAGCUAUCUUUAAGAUUACGUUUUAGUUCAUUAUUUUUUAUUUUGAUUUUAUAAUUAUUUUAGGUUUUUUAUUAAGAUUAUUUAUUUAAUUUUAAAAUUUUUGUAAUAAUGAUAGAAUUAGUAUAUUUAUUUGUAUAUAAUUUUUACCUUGUGAAUUUAUUAUAAGGAACUAGGCAAAAUUGAUUUCCGCCUGUUUAUCAAAAACAUGUCCUCUUGAAAAUACUUUGAGGUCUGGCCUGCUCACUGAGCAGAUUUUUAAAGAGCCGCGGUAUUUUGACCGUGCAAAGGUAGCAUAAUCAUUAGUCUCUUAAUUAGUGGCUGGAAUGAAUGGCUUGACGAGAAAUCAACUGUCUCUUAAUAAAUUUUUGAAUUUAACUUUUGAGUCAAAAGGCUUAAAUUUUUCUUUAGGACGAGAAGACCCUAUAGAGCUUAACAUUUUAUUUUUAUAUAGUUUUUUGUUUGUCUUUCUAUAUUUAAUGAUGAUGUUUUGUUGGGGUGACAUGAAGAAUAAAUAAACUCUUCAUUAUUAUAUCAUUUAUUUAUGUUUGUUGUUUUGAUCCAUAAUUUAUGAUCAUAAGAUUAAGUUACCUUAGGGAUAACAGCGUAAUUGUUUUUGAGAGCUCAUAUCGACAAAGCAGAUUGCGACCUCGAUGUUGGAUUAAGAAAAAUUUUGGGUGCAGUAGCCCAGUGAUUAGGUCUGUUCGACCUUUAAAUUCUUACAUGAUCUGAGUUCAGACCGGCGUGAGCCAGGUCGGUUUCUAUCCUAAGAUUAUUAAUUCAUAUUAGUACGAAAGGACCAUAUGGUUGAAAUAUUUUUUGUUUUAUUGAUUAAUAUUAAUUAAAUU